Molecule: long non-coding RNA, 1757 nt
Organism: Lagopus leucura (white-tailed ptarmigan)
Lineage: Eukaryota; Metazoa; Chordata; Aves; Galliformes; Phasianidae
Exons: 3
Source: RefSeq, a predicted model, not a curated record
CGAGGGCCUUGGCGGUCCGCACGGGCAUGGUGAAGAUGGAGCAGGUGUAUUCCCCCUCAUCCGACAGCACCACGUCGCUGAUGCUGAUGGUCAGCUCGUUGGGUGUGGACCUCUCCAGCUGGAUCCUGUUGUCUCGUAGGGCUGGGGGACGACAAGGGGACGAGGGGUGAGCGAUCAACGCCGCCGCGCUCCCCGUAGGUGGGGAUGGACGACCAGCUUCGCCCCCAAUCCACCUCCCCUCUGCCCGCCCUGCGCACACACCUCGUUUCUCCCCAAAGUAGAGGGUCUGCUGGGCAGGGUUGGACCACUGCAGCGAGGAGUCAUCAGGGUCCUCCACCUGGCACUUGAGCACCACUGUGCCACCAGCCACCACCGUCUCAUCCGACGUCGUGGGUUGGCUCACUGCACGCAAGAGAGGAGAGCUCAGGGAGGGCGCCUCGGGCUCUCACCCCCAAAUUUGGGCCCCGUAUCCAUCCUACGGGCUCCUGAGCUCUGCACAUCCCUCCCAACCCGCGUUUCCUUCGCGCAGACAUCGCCGCCAAGCAGCCCAAGGGCAGAGAGGAGCAGCAGGAGGAUCAGAUAACCCCAGCUGCCCCAAGGACGGCUAUUUUGGGACGGCCGCCGCGCCGUGCUGCCCCACGGGGAAGGGAGAUGUCAGCUUGCCCAGCCUGGAGGUCGGACGCAACCUCCAUCCCAUGCUGGAUGUGGGGCUCUGCGGAGCGUUGUCUUACAUCUCAGCACUCGUAUUUAGGGCUCAAGCUCAAGGCUGCCCUAACGACGGAGGGAAACGUUUUCUUCUGCUGACAUUGUAAAUUCCACAAAGCUGUCGCAGGAAGGGACGGAAAGGGCCGAGCAGGGCAGGGGGACGAGGGCGCCGAGCUUCCCAGACUGGUGUUGAGCUGAUGGCUCUGUGGUUGGACACAGGCUGGAAAGCACGUGAAUCCCACAGCAGCUUCGGAACACACGAGAACUUCAAUACUGCAAAGACACCAAAUCUGGAUGGAAAACCAUUGCCAGGGUUCAAGGCUCCGUCCCUGGGUUGCUGAUGCUCCUACAUCACAGUGAUGGAACUCCGCUCCUCUGCACUCGCUGGGGUUUUCAGCUGCUGAAGGGCCUCUGCUUCCCACCUCCAUCCUCGCGGGCCUUUAUGGUGCCGUCGCUCGUCCUCCCUCCAUCUGCAGCCAGUUUGGCUCCAGCUCACUCAGCACAGUCCUCAGGAGGUUCUCCAGCCCCAACCCUGGGGAUACGGCCUGGGACAGCAGCAGUGCUGCUCCUCUGGGCAGGGUGAUGGCAGUCGGCUUGUUUUAAUUUGUUAAUUAAGGGAUUAGGCCGCUCCAAGCCGCUGUUAUCCAAACUCAAAGCGCUCCGACUCCCAUCGAGGACGGGGCGCAGCGCCCACGCAGCAGACUACAGACCCAACCUUUCAAUUAACGCAAUUACCAUCACCUGCCACAGCGCCGGCCUCAUUAAGGAAUUAACCCUGGGAUGGGUUCGACAGCAGCACGAGGGCGCGGGGUCACCGCGAUCCCCGUGAUGACACUGGGGUCACCGCCAUGCUUUGCCCCCGGGGAGCAACAGCAGAGCCCCACUGCUCCUCCCCUGCACCCCAACCUCGGGACCCCCAUCCUGAGCACGGGAUCCCCCUUUGGAUUUCCAUAGGCUGCCCCGGGGGGGGGCUCCCCGUAGCCCCACAUCCCCAAUCGCCUCUGCAUCGACAGCUUGGCGCAGCAGACGGGCACGGCUCCGCUUUCGUUAAA